UACGAAGGGGGCUAGCGUUGUUCGGAAUUACUGGGCGUAAAGCGCACGUAGGCGGCUCGAUCAGUCAGGGGUGAAAUCCCAGGGCUCAACCCUGGAACUGCCUUUGAUACUGUCGAUCUGGAGUAUGGAAGAGGUGAGUGGAAUUCCGAGUGUAGAGGUGAAAUUCGUAGAUAUUCGGAGGAACACCAGUGGCGAAGGCGGCUCACUGGUCCAUUACUGACGCUGAGGUGCGAAAGCGUGGGGAGCAAACAGG
RNAcentral lists this ribosomal RNA (253 nucleotides) under uncultured bacterium. RNAcentral's name for it is "partial 16S ribosomal RNA". It matches the Rfam family "Bacterial small subunit ribosomal RNA", at positions 524 to 776 of the family's 1533-position model. The record is from RNAcentral.